GGGCGUGGUGUCAUUUGGCGAUCACUCUGCAAAAGUGAUAUUAUGGGGAUUUUCCCCAUCCCGCCUU
Molecule: transfer RNA, 67 nt
Filed under: Ancyrocephalus mogurndae
Lineage: Eukaryota; Metazoa; Platyhelminthes; Monogenea; Dactylogyridea; Ancyrocephalidae
Description: tRNA-Cys
Source: RNAcentral